Molecule: long non-coding RNA, 407 nt
Organism: Conger conger (European conger)
Lineage: Eukaryota; Metazoa; Chordata; Actinopteri; Anguilliformes; Congridae
Exons: 3
Source: RefSeq, a predicted model, not a curated record
UAACUGGGAGAGCUUUCAAGCAAAUGCUGCUAAAAUUGUUCAUAUUUUCCUUCUGAAGAUUCACACACACGAAUCAACUAGAAAUUGACUGUAGCAUUCAAACUACACGAAACCUCAAGAUUUUCAAAGCGGCUUGGAGUCGAAAGGUAGAAGACGGUUUUUUCGGUUAGACAGUGAGACGUGACUCGGGAGUACGGGGGGAAAUGAAAAACAAGGGAUCCGUGAAUCCGUCUCCUGCAGGUGAUCCUUGAGAAACCAGAUGCAAACUGCUGCAAUUAUGAACAUAAUUAUGAACAUUUAUUAAGUGUGAAGACCUCAGCAGUUGCGCUUGAGCGACUGGCAGGAUCACAAGAGGGAAAGGAAUUGCAACCCCUAACUCCUGGGGGACCCCAGUGUGACAGCCAACG